Long non-coding RNA from Myxocyprinus asiaticus (Chinese sucker), 1123 nucleotides. RefSeq lists it as uncharacterized. Lineage: Eukaryota; Metazoa; Chordata; Actinopteri; Cypriniformes; Catostomidae. The record is from RefSeq and is a predicted model, not a curated record. The transcript has 3 exons.
UCAGCUUUCUUACACAACCCUGUACUAGUGACUUCACAAUAAACAUAUCUGCAUAAAUUCACUUUACUUAAAAUCAUUUCCUGGAGGAAACCAUAGAUCAGUAUUGCAACAGAUGGACAGACCCUUGUGGUAAAAUAACUGAAAUUAAGUGAACUGUCUGCCACGUUUUGUGUAAUGGAAUCUAAAACUACUAACAUCAUCAUCUUUCUGGACCCUGUGUUUGGGUUCACAGAUUUAGUUUGUUUAGUUUAGUCUGAUUCAUGACUGUGUGUCUGUCCUCACACUGCACGCUGCGGAACUGCACCUGAAACAACAGCGUAAGCAGAGAACAAUAGUGUAUUCAUAUAAAUCGACUGUCAGGAACAAUAGAUCUGUCCUCAGUAAUCUGACUCAAUGAGUUCUGGGGUUUUCUUGGGGUUUUAUGGCGAGCCUUUGAGUUACAUCUCAUAUGAACAUGUUUUAUCAAGGUUACGUUGAAGAUCUAGACAGACAGAUAGACAGACAUACAGGUAGACAUACAGAUAGAUAGACAGACAGAUAGACAGACAGGUAGAUAAACAUACAGGUAGACAGACAGACAGACCAAUAGAUAGAUAGACAGACAGACAGAUAGAUACUGGAGACAGACAGACAGAGAGAGAGAUAGAUGGACGGACAGACAGACAGGUAGACACAAACAGGUAGAUAGACAGACAGACAGGUAGAUAGACAUACAGGUAGACAGACAGACAGACAGACCAAUAGAUAGAUAGACAGACAGACAGAUAGAUACUGGAUAUAGACAGACAGAGAGAGAGAUAGAUAGAUGGACGGACAGGUAGAUAGACUGACAGACAGACAUACAGGUAGAUAGACAGACAGACAGACAGACAGGUAGACACAAACAGGUAGAUAGACAUACAGACAGACAGACCAAUAGAUAGAUAGACAGACAGACAGAUAGAUACUGGAGAUAGACAGAGAGAGGGAUAGAUAGAUGGACGGACAGGUAGAUAGACUGACAGACAGACAUACAGGUAGACAGACAGAUAGACAGACAGACAGACAGGUAGACACAAACAGGUAGAUAGACAUACAGGUAGACAGACAGACAGACAGACAAACCAAUAGAUAGAUAGACAGA